Strigops habroptila (Kakapo) is the source of this 2445-nucleotide long non-coding RNA. NCBI's taxonomy places the organism in Eukaryota, Metazoa, Chordata, Aves, Psittaciformes, Psittacidae. The record is from Ensembl.
GGGAUUCAGACUGUGAUAACCUGGUGCCAUCCUCAAAAGAGCAGGUAGGACUAAUUCUUCCACUCAGAGAUCAGAAGAGUACAAGUCACCACCCCAAGCAAGCUGAGACACAGAGUAUGUCAGAGAUGUGCUGUGACUGUUCUCCAAGGCCACUGAACUAUCUUGAGUGCAAGAAGUAUUCAUGUGACUUUCUCUGGAAUAUUUCACCUUGGUAAGAUGCCUGGGGAGGCUCGUCAGCCUCUGCUACCUCAGCUAGUGCAGCAGAUAGUGGAAACAGCCCAAAUCAAUGCCUGUGUCCCCUGUGCUAUGUGAGUGGAGGAGAACCUGGGCUCCAGCCAGUUCUGACAGAUCUGGACAAGAAGCAGAGAAGUGUCAAUGUCCUAGAUGUUUUUCAAAGUAACCAGCGUAAUAGGACAUGACUUCACAAACACUUGGUGAACAGUCACUGGAUAAACAAUUGCUAUCGAGGGGCACGAUAUUUUUCUCUAAAUACAGUGCAGUCUCUUUAUGUAAUAGAUGAGGGAACAAAGAUUUCCAGGGAGAAAUGAAUUUUAAGAUUUCCUAAAGUUUUGGAAGCUCUCUAGCAUCUUAGUAUUGAAAUGAUCACUGAGAAAGUACCUCUUCUCAGAGGACAUACUGGUUAUGGAAUCAGCAGUGCUGAUUUUAGAAGUAAAGCUGCAUGCAGGCCACGUCACAGAAAAUAAAAUGAGGAUAAAAAUGCUACUCUGCAGCUGUUCAUUGGGAAUACCUGCAGCAAGUGGUUUUGUUCACACUGUACAGAAGUGGUGCCAGGUGCAGAAUAACCAUUCCUGGGUUUAGCCUUCUGAACUCAUCUUACUUGGAAAAACCCUCGGACCUUCUGUUGAGAGGUGCCUCAUCAAAAGGAGUCAGCUUCCUGAUGGGAUAGGUUAGUUAGACACUUCAUGAGUUCCUGUUUCUGUCCAUUUACUAUAUUUUCCUAGGUGCUUAGCUCGUAAUAAUUUCUCAGAGGUAGGAAGAUAAAUUGGCAAACCUUUGGUGUAGAAUUUCCAUGUGAGAUUGCUUGUCCUUGCUAAAGGUAAUGUCUUUACAAUUGACUAGUUGGAUGUGGAUUAUUCCCAAUGCAAUAUGCCAUUGUGUGUUGCUACUAAGUGCAAGAGUUGUGAAGGAAGACAUUUGAUCUUAGCAAGUAAUAAUCGGAAAAGAAGUAAGAAAUUACUUGGGUUUUUUUGCUUUAAUAACCAGCUUAAGCCAGAAGUUUUAUCAAGACACAGUUCUGUUUUUCAAUGAAUGUUAAGUUAAACACCUGUAAAUAUUAGCAUUUGUUUGCAAAUUGUGAUGAGCAUUUAUUAACUGAGAUGGGCACUUAGAGAGACUAAAUGGUGACAGAAACCUUGAAUUAUUGAUGUAUUUGACAAGUCAUUAAAAAACAGAGUUUCAGGAAUGCAUAAAAAAAAAGCAGAGAAUGUAAUUUGAAACAAAACAUUUUUCCACUCUACAGGUCACCUGAGGAAGGCACACUUAAGAGUCGUACCCCAUUUUGCAAUAUUGACUUCCUGCUUGGACUACUCUUUUACGUUAACUAGGAACUUUAGUUUUUUACAGAACAGAUGUUUUCUCUUAGGAUCAAGCUCUGUGGUAGUCUUAAAAGUCAUGGGAGAAAAGUGCUUACUGGAGUUAGUAGGCUUGAUAGAGCCAGUCAAUGGGAAAUGAAAAUUGUCAAAAACUUCUUUGAAAAUACUCCUUCUGUAUUUUAAAUGGAACUGCAACAUCCUAAAUUCUAGCAAAUAUCUGAAGAGAUAAUGCAGGUGACUCAAAUGUUAGUGAGACUUCGAGGGAGCAUUAUUUUUCAUUGAAAAACUGCUUUGCAUUUUCUUCAUAAAUGCCAACACUUCAGUGGGCAUUUUCACUUCCCUAAAACUCUCCAUUGGCUGAGGUGAGCUUUUCCCUCUCUUAGUACUGGAGAAGCAGCUAGCCCUCAUGAGAAAGACAUAAGAAGAUAAUGUUAGUUUUUCUAGAUACUGGAGGAGUACAGAAUGCUAUAAAUAACUGAAGAGAAGACCCUGGUGCAUGUGCCAGCCAAGACAGAAGUACUGCUGUGCUGUCUCAUCGGCAAGCAGCCCGUAAGGUAGAAUAACAAACGUGGAAAUUUUGUCACAUCUUGGCAAGAUGUUUCUGUGAAGAGGUUGAAAUCUGUAGAAACAGCUCCAAAUAGCAGUAGUAAUUAUCAGUAUAAAUAGCUCAUUAAAAGAAAUGCAAGGUGAAAGCAGAAAUAUUUUGCAUGGGAGGCAGCUGCUGCUUCAAAGGGAGAGACAACGUUUCCUACGGUUUUAUUUGCUAUUUCUACUGGUGCUAAGCAAUUCAGGAAUAAGGACUCAAUUUCUGUUUGCCUUAGAGAAAUGUAAAUACCUUUUGCAUGUACUUGAAAUGUAUUGUGACAAAUAAAGGUCGGGGUGUUGCUUUUUA